Molecule: long non-coding RNA, 1514 nt
Filed under: Ananas comosus (pineapple)
Lineage: Eukaryota; Viridiplantae; Streptophyta; Magnoliopsida; Poales; Bromeliaceae
Description: long non-coding RNA (ACOM_LNC006740)
Source: RNAcentral
GAGUGAGGUUCUUUUUUAUAAAAAAAAAAAAAUUAUUUGCAUAUACGUCCCUACAAAUAUAGUGAAUUACAAAUAUAUUCCUGCAAAACGGAAACUCUAUAAGUUAUUCCUGAAAAAACCACAAGUUAUGCAGAUAUGUCCCUACUGUUAGAGUCUGUUAGAAAAUUUUCGUUAACCAUGAUUAAAAUACUUAAUCAUGAUUAAUUAUAAUGUGAAUUUACAGUUCUACCCUUCUUCCUCUUCCUCCUCCUCCUCUCCUCUUCUCUCUUCUUCGUCGCCGGCGAGGGAGAUGCGGCGGCGGCAACGGCGGCGGACCCUCUCCCUCUUCCUCUCCCUCCUCUCCCCCCUUCUUCUUUCUCUUCCUCUUCCUCUUCCCUCUUCUUCAUAGCCAGCGAGGGAGAACAUGCGACUACGACGGCGACGGCGAACCCUCUCCCUCUCCCUCUUUCUCUUCUUCUUCAUCUUCCCUCUUCUUCUUCCUCUCUUUCUUUUUCUUCCCUCUUCUUCGUCGCCGGCGAGUCUCACCCGCGCCAUCACCGCCGUCGGCUCCGGCGGCCCGAAGAGAAAGAGAAAGAGAAGAGGGAAGAGGAAUAUUUUUAGAGGGAAAUAUUUGUGAGCGUAAAAAUGUCAUUUUACAAAUUCGCUGUUAAAAAGUUAACAGUUCACUAACGGAUGUUAACCAGAGAGACAUAUCUGCAUAACUUAGGACUUUUGUAGGGACAACUUAUGGAGUUUUCGUUUUGCAGGAAUAUAUCUGCAAUUCACUAUGUUUGCUGAGACGUGUAUGCAAAUAACCCAAAAAAAAUUACCUAUAUAUCGCUCAAAACUUCGAAAAUAUUUUAUUUAUUUGUUUAUUCUUUUUAAUUUACCACUCAUAUAUUUCUUCGUUAUUUCAAAAUAUCUCUAUAAUUACCAUCCGUUAAGUUAACUUGGUUAAACGUGAGUUAAAUAUUUAUUACAAUUUAAAAAUUAAAAUAUCUCUUUUACUCUUAACUUAAGAGCAGGCAAAUAAGAAAAGUAGAUGAUGGUAGAAGGGUAUAUUUAAAAGAUCAAAAAUCAAAACAUUUUUGUGCCCCUAACUUAAGGGCAAAUAAGAAAAAUCCGUGACGAUAGAAGGGUAUAUUUGAAAAAAAAUAAUAAUAAUUUUAUACAGAUAACAGUUAUUGUUAACAGUUUAUUAAUAGGAUUUAACUCUAUGGAUGUAUUUGAAAUAGAUUGAAAUGUAAAAAAAAUAUUUUUUAAUAUUUUAAUUAGUUUUCUAAAAAGGAUAAAUCAAAAAGUUGAAAAUUUUUAAGAGAUAUACAAGCAAUAUUCUUUUGGUUCUCAAACUAUGUAAGUGUCUAACGCUUUAGACUUCAAAUUUAAUUACAAUAAUUUUUAAUUUAAAAUUUUAAAUUAUUAUAAUUAAGUUAUAAUUCAAUUUAGUUAACUAAAUUUUAACAAUAUAUUUGUAAAAAUAACAUAACAUCUUAAUUAUUAUCGUAUCAUCAAUAACAAAUUUUUGCCGCAUCAUU